GGGGAACGAUAACGGCGUCGAGCGGCGGACGGGUGAGUAAUGCCUAGGAAAUUGCCCUGAUGUGGGGGAUAACCAUUGGAAACGAUGGCUAAUACCGCAUGAUGCCUACGGGCCAAAGAGGGGGACCUUCGGGCCUCUCGCGUCAGGAUAUGCCUAGGUGGGAUUAGCUAGUUGGUGAGGUAAGGGCUCACCAAGGCGACGAUCCCUAGCUGGUCUGAGAGGAUGAUCAGCCACACUGGAACUGAGACACGGUCCAGACUCCUACGGGAGGCAGCAGUGGGGAAUAUUGCACAAUGGGCGCAAGCCUGAUGCAGCCAUGCCGCGUGUGUGAAGAAGGCCUUCGGGUUGUAAAGUACUUUCAGUCGUGAGGAAGGCGGCGUCGUUAAUAGCGGCGUUGUUUGACGUUAGCGACAGAAGAAGCACCGGCUAACUCCGUGCCAGCAGCCGCGGUAAUACGGAGGGUGCGAGCGUUAAUCGGAAUUACUGGGCGUAAAGCGCAUGCAGGUGGUUUGUUAAGUCAGAUGUGAAAGCCCGGGGCUCAACCUCGGAAUAGCAUUUGAAACUGGCAGACUAGAGUACUGUAGAGGGGGGUAGAAUUUC
RNAcentral lists this ribosomal RNA (600 nucleotides) under Vibrio neocaledonicus. RNAcentral's name for it is "bacterial SSU rRNA". It matches the Rfam family "Bacterial small subunit ribosomal RNA", at positions 69 to 670 of the family's 1533-position model. The record is from RNAcentral. Lineage: Bacteria; Pseudomonadati; Pseudomonadota; Gammaproteobacteria; Vibrionales; Vibrionaceae.